UUUUUUUUUUUUUUUCCCAUAUAUUUUUUUCUAUCUGAAGCCAUUUGCUAGUUUAAUUAUAAGUUGUUUCUGUGUGUAAGUUCUGUGCACCACACUUUAUGGUCAGUGUAGUCCUCCAGCAUAUAGCAUCUAUGAGCUGGCCUGGAAGCUCUCCUUUCAGCACACUUGCUUCUCACAUACUAUACAUUAAACGUUUAAAUGCCUUCAGUAGAAAUCAUAUGAAGCAAGCAAGAGUGAAUGUGAGUAGAAGGAAAUAGUCACACUUUUCCGGUUUAAUUAACCCUUGGUUUAACUUUUGGGUACAUUUUGUAUCCUUUCAGAUCUCUAGGUUAGACAGCAGUUAAGAUAUGAACAGUGGAAGUGGCUGGGGUCAAGCUCUGUUGUUUAAUCUUAGCUCUGGGGCGGGACAGGAAACCUGGGCUCGCUGAAACGCAGUUAGGAGACCAGGUCAUGCAAUUUUGUGACUAGGUCUUAUGACCUGGUCUUGUGACCAAUAUUAUGGGAAAUCCUGGUUUGAGCAGUUAAUCUAUAUGAGAUCAACCUUCCACCAAUCAAAAGGAAGGAUGUGACCAUGUGACAUAGGAAAUGUUUUACCACAACUGGAGAUCCUAUCCUCAGAACUUCACUGGUCUGUGAGAGCAAAUAUUUACUCUUAAUAAACUUCACUUUAUUCUAAUG
RNAcentral lists this long non-coding RNA (678 nucleotides) under Rattus norvegicus (Norway rat). Its description in RNAcentral is "long non-coding RNA NONRATT013768". Lineage: Eukaryota; Metazoa; Chordata; Mammalia; Rodentia; Muridae. The record is from RNAcentral.